Molecule: long non-coding RNA, 655 nt
Organism: Planococcus citri (citrus mealybug)
Lineage: Eukaryota; Metazoa; Arthropoda; Insecta; Hemiptera; Pseudococcidae
Exons: 3
Source: RefSeq, a predicted model, not a curated record
UACCUAGACCUAAUACCCCUCCUUUGAAAUUUUCCCUAUUGAAUUACGAGUAUAAAAGUGUGGCAUUGAACCGAUCAAGUUAUUACUGUUUUGGUUUCGGUUGACGACUUUUGAACAAGUUUGCUUUAUUGUUCUCAUCGAAACUCUACGUUUGCGAUUUUAAUCAGUUAUUCUUUGUUGAAGUACCAAUCUACCUCACACAAAUAAAAAAAUGGCUGACAAUGUUGGAAUUGACGAAAUAAAAGACGCCGUCAAGCAAUCCGUCAAAGCGAUGAAAGUUGGCGAGAGCCAAAGCGUUCCAGGAUACGACGGCUACACUGUUACCAGAAUCGAUGAAAAUAAUGUAGAAGUCACGAAAAAAGCUCUUCAAGGGGCCGAUGGUGACGAUUCGGAAGUUUCGAAGAAAGGAUUUAGUCUCAACCUGGGAAUAUUCUCUAUUAGCUGGUGAUCGUCGAUGUGCGUUUUUGAUUGAUUUUUAUACUCAUACUCGUAUUAAUAGUAGUCUGUAGCGUAUAGUUUUGGUAAACUUAUUCGACGAGUAUUUAUUCUACUACAUAUAAAUUACAUUACCUGUUAAUCUGUGAGAUGUUCAGUGUAAUGUUUGUUUGUCAAAACGUAUUCUGAUCUACUGCAAUAAAAUCUUAUCAGAAUAUUA